Molecule: ribosomal RNA, 730 nt
Filed under: uncultured bacterium
Lineage: Bacteria
Description: bacterial SSU rRNA
Rfam family: Bacterial small subunit ribosomal RNA
Source: RNAcentral
AACAGGAUUAGAUACCCUGGUAGUCCAUGCCGUAAACGAUGAGUGCUAGGUGUUGGAGGGUUUCCGCCCUUCAGUGCCGGAGCUAACGCAUUAAGCACUCCGCCUGGGGAGUACGACCGCAAGGUUGAAACUCAAAGGAAUUGACGGGGGCCCGCACAAGCGGUGGAGCAUGUGGUUUAAUUCGAAGCUACGCGAAGAACCUUACCAGGUCUUGACAUCUUGCGCUAACCUAAGAGAUUAGGCGUUCCCUUCGGGGACGCAAUGACAGGUGGUGCAUGGUCGUCGUCAGCUCGUGUCGUGAGAUGUUGGGUUAAGUCCCGCAACGAGCGCAACCCUUGUUACUAGUUGCCAGCAUUCAGUUGGGCACUCUAGUGAGACUGCCGGUGACAAACCGGAGGAAGGUGGGGACGACGUCAGAUCAUCAUGCCCCUUAUGACCUGGGCUACACACGUGCUACAAUGGUCGGUACAACGAGUCGCUAACCCGCGAGGGCAAGCUAAUCUCUUAAAGCCGAUCUCAGUUCGGACUGUAGGCUGCAACUCGCCUACACGAAGUCGGAAUCGCUAGUAAUCGCGGAUCAGCAUGCCGCGGUGAAUACGUUCCCGGGCCUUGUACACACCGCCCGUCACACCAUGGAAGUUUGUAACGCCCAAAGUCGGUGGCCUAACCAUUUGGAGGGAGCCGCCUGAGGCGGGACAGAUGAUUAGGGUGAAGUCGUAACAAGGUAACC